RNAcentral lists this ribosomal RNA (512 nucleotides) under uncultured Lactobacillus sp. RNAcentral describes it as "bacterial SSU rRNA". It matches the Rfam family "Bacterial small subunit ribosomal RNA", at positions 56 to 525 of the family's 1533-position model. Lineage: Bacteria; Bacillati; Bacillota; Bacilli; Lactobacillales; Lactobacillaceae. The record is from RNAcentral.
UGCAAAGUCGAGCGAGCUUGCCUAUUGAAAUUCUUCGGGAAUGGACGAUAGAUACAAGCUAGCGGCGGAUGGGGUGAGUAACGCGUGGGUAACCCUGCCCUUAAAGUCUGGGAUACCAUUUGGAAACAGAUGCUAAUACCGGAUAAAAAGCUACUUUCGCAUGAAAGAAGUUUAAAAAGAACGGCGUAAAGCUGUCGCUAAAGGAUGGACCUGCGAUGCAUUAGCUAGUUGGUAAGGUAACGGCUUACCAAGGCGAUGAUGCAUAGCCGAGUUGAGAGACUGAUCGGCCACAUUGGGACUGAGACACGACCCAAACUCCUACGGGAGGCAGCAGUAGGGAAUCUUCCACAAUGGACGCAAGUCUGAUGGAGCAACGCCGCGUGAGUGAAGAAGGUUUUCGGAUCGUAAAGCUCUGUUGUUGGUGAAGAAGGAUAGAGGUAGUAACUGGCCUUUAUUUGACGGUAAUCAACCAGAAAGUCACGGCUAACUACGUGCCAGCAGCCGCGGUAAAU